Molecule: ribosomal RNA, 467 nt
Filed under: uncultured bacterium
Lineage: Bacteria
Description: partial 16S ribosomal RNA
Rfam family: Bacterial small subunit ribosomal RNA
Source: RNAcentral
ACGAACGCUGGCGGCGUGCUUAACACAUGCAAGUCGAACGGAAAGGCCCUGCUUUUGUGGGGUGCUCGAGUGGCGAACGGGUGAGUAACACGUGAGUAACCUGCCCUUGACUUUGGGAUAACUUCAGGAAACUGGGGCUAAUACCGGAUAGGAGCUCCUGCUGCCUGGUGGGGGUUGGAAAGUUUCGGCGGUUGGGGAUGGACUCGCGGCUUAUCAGCUUGUUGGUGGGGUAGUGGCUUACCAAGGCUUUGACGGGUAGCCGGCCUGAGAGGGUGACCGGCCACAUUGGGACUGAGAUACGGCCCAGACUCCUACGGGAGGCGGCAGUGGGGAAUAUUGCACAAUGGGCGGAAGCCUGAUGCAGCAACGCCGCGUGCGGGAUGACGGCCUUCGGGUUGUAAACCGCUUUCGCCUGUGACGAAGCGUGAGUGACGGUAAUGGGUAAAGAAGCACCGGCUAACUACGUG